UAAUAAUAAUAAUAAUUUCUCCCUCACAGUAAUACGUAGAACAGAUCAAGAGUACCCGAAUUAAUCUGUUGCACUAGCGUCUAUAUAAUAGACUUCACUGCAUCAUUAUUUUUAAGUGUGCAAAAAUAUUACCCAAUUAGCUACUCAAUAUUAAGAUCUCACUUAGAAUUAAGGUUCUGAUUUGUUAAAUGUGUAUUUUGCUUAUCUAUUUAUUUUUAAAGACUUAUAAAGUCUUAUAACCUAUAUGCAUGUUAUUGAUUUCAGUGUUCACCAUAUUAAAAAAAAAAAAAAAAAAAAGUUCUACUACGCUUAAUAAUCGCCGCGGGGGGCCAUAGCGUGUGAGCCUUUCGCCUAAACACUGUUGAGUAAGAUAAUUAUCAGCUGUCGUAAGAGUGAGAGAGAACAGCGUCGGCGCUUUGAAUCACCUUCUCAUGAAUGCUUUGCUUGUUUCUCUUACCUCACUCGUCUUACUCACCUCCAGGCGCGCUUUUUUUAUUUCAGGAAUCUGAAAGUCUGAAACACAACGUGAGAAAAAACAGGAGUGGAUUCCCGGAACUGGAUUCCUGAAGAUGGCUGCGCUGUGUAACACAUCUAGUAGUGAAAUAAAGUGAACGGAGGCAAGACCAAUCAGACAGAGUCUACAGGAAAAUACUCGGAAAUACUUGUGUCUUAUUGGCUGACAGCUCUCAAUUCUGCCAAAUGCUAGCUCAAACAGUCAGUGUGAAUGAAAAUGGAUAUGGUAAACAUUUGAUGUCCGCACGCAAUCCUCAGAGAGUCUCCUCCCCCCACCUUCUCCGGCUUACUCACUCUGGCGUUUACCACCCCCCCAUACACACACACACACACACACACACACAGACUCACGCUAUCGCAUGCUCCCCAUUCUUCGCACAUUCUUCUUGCUCUGACUCAGCACCUGCUGAGUGCUUCGACUUGGUUCUUGCCGAGCCGUUACAUGCGCUUUUUACUGAUGUAGGACCAUUACCUGUUUAAUCUAGAUUUCAUUAUCAUUAUUUAAAAUGAAAAAAUAAAAUAAAAUGAUAGAUUUAAAAAAAAAAAGAAAAGCAUUUUCAAUUAUAUACAAGAACACAAACUGGGUAAACAGAUGUCAGUGUGAAAUAACUUACUUCUUCUCUAUCUCACGAUUUUACAAUGUAAUUGUGAAAGCAAAGGAACAAACUCACUCCACUUCUGUAUCGAUUUGUGUCUAAGCACUUACACAUUAAUUUUCUAUAAUAACAGGUCACUUAGUCCCAGGUAAAAGGAUCUACCUCCUCUUGAUCCCAACCAAACACAUUUUCUCUCAUUAAUAGUCUUUCUCCCUAUCUGGGUAUUUACUCAACAAAACUAACAAAUUCUUUGUUCAUAAUAUAAAUUCAUACCAACUUCUAUUUUCAGAAAUUCCUCAAUAUUCCCUGAUUCUCUAAGACUCUAAGAUUCUCUUGUUUCCUUCCUCACUUUAAACAAAUCCUCUGCUGACAUUCAUUCUAAAAGCUAUCUGCAAGUAUCUGCUGUGUAGCUUUGGUGGUUAAGACAUUGGACUACUGACCAGAAGGUUGUGAAUUCAAAUCCCAGAACAACAAAGCUGUUGCUGCUGGACCCUGGAGCAAGGCCCUUAACUGCUCAGAUGUAUAAAAAUUAGAUAACUAUAAGUCGGUCUGGAUAAUGGUGUCUACCAAAUGCCGUAAAUGUAAAUUAACGUUUCAGAUCCAUAUGUUAUUUAGACCAACAAUGCCAAACCUAAAUCAAGUAAAGCAACAAAGCUUUGACUUAACCAAAAGCUAAAACAAAAAUUGUUCAACAAUCUAAGGGUGACAGGUAUACAGAGGCUAGUACCAAAUGGCAAGGGGUAGUUUUACUUUGUGGCACAUAAAACCCUGGUUCUAUUCCAGAGAGACACCCGUCAUGCACACAGCAGCUGCAAUCAAUUUCACUUGCGAUCACAUACGACUUCUGUCAUUUGUAAUAAAGGAAUGAGGAAGCGAGCCAGUGAAUUUCACACCACACAAACCGCAAGGCACACGUCUGAUGACAGCACAAGACCACAACUCCAAGACACCAAAGAAAAACAGGAUAAUGCUCAGAGUUUUCCUUUUUUUUUUUUAUUUUUUAAAGUAAUCUUAAUUCUCCAAAUGCCAAAAAAAAAAUGCUCCACUUUAUGGAACUGCUUUUCACUAUCCUCUAUGACUCAAGCAUGGAAUGAGGCGAAUGCACAUAUGAAACCUGCGGUCAGUGCUGUCCACAUUGUAGCUUUCAUUCCUGCAUUGACUGUGAAGAGGUGAUGAAACUGAAACACUAUCCAACUCACAACCACACACUCUGAAAUACUGAUACCAAGCCAUAUGUCAGCGAAAUCAGCUCCAGCACAGUGAAAUAUGCUCAGCAAAAAAAAGGAAUGUCCCUUUUUCAGGAGUCUUUAUUUUAAAGAUAAUUUUGUCAAAUCCAAAUAAGCUUUACAGAUCUUUAUUGGAAAGGGUUUAAGCAAUGUUUUUCAUGCAUGUUCACUGAACCAUAAACAAUGAUUGCACAUGCACCUGUGGAACAGUCCUUAAGACACGAACAGUUUACAGGCGGUAGGCGAUUAAGGCCACAGUUACAAUACCUUAGGGCCCUUAAGAGACUUUUCUACUGACUCUGAAAAACACCAGAAGACAGUAAGACAGUGCUACAGGGAGACAGGAAGGACAGCUUAUCGUCCUUGCAGUGGAAAAUUACAUGUAACCAUAUGUCCCCUCAGACGUGAUAGAGAACUUACAAAUGCUUUGGUGGAAGAGUGGGGUAACCUCUCACAGCAUGAACUGACAAAUCUGGUGCAGUUCAUGAGGAUGAGAUGCACUGUAGUACUUAAAGCAGCUGGAGGCCACACCAGACACUGACUGUUACUGUUGAUAUCGACCCCACCUUUUUUCAGGGACUCAUUAUUCAAUUUCUGUUCAUCAAAUGUCUGCUAAACCUGUUCUCAGUUAUUUUGUAUGUUUUUAUGUUAAUACAAAUAUUUACACAUGUGAAGGAAUUUGCUGAAAAUAAAAGCAGUUGAAUGUGAGAGGAGGUUUCUUUUUUUG
This is a long non-coding RNA of Ictalurus punctatus (channel catfish), 3062 nucleotides long. RefSeq lists it as uncharacterized. The transcript is spliced from 3 exons. The record is from RefSeq and is a predicted model, not a curated record. Lineage: Eukaryota; Metazoa; Chordata; Actinopteri; Siluriformes; Ictaluridae.